GGAGGAAAGCAGCCGAGAAUCUGGAACAAGGACACGAAGAGAAGGUGUGGGACUAAAGUUCUGAGGAGAAGCAGGAUUUUAGAGAGUAUUACACAAUCCUGAAAACUUUUAUCAGGCUGCCUUGUGUUUGCACCACCCGAACCUGCUGAUGUGCCCUGCUGUGGUCUGGUACAUACUCCAGAAGGAAUUGCUUUUGGAGUGGUCUCCAUGCUCAAUCUAUUUGUAAUCUACACCUUGAGCAAGGCUGCCCUUAAUCCUCAGGAAACCACAGAAUGAAAUGUUGGCUUUGGGCACAUUGGGGACUACAGUUACAUGAGCCACUUGUGUUUCAGAGCUUACUUUUGCUUUAGAGUUUGAAAUGCCACAGGAAACACCAAAACAACCAUUUACUGUCACAGGAGACUCCAAUUUUUCUACCUUGAACUUGUCCAGGUUCCAGCUUUUCUAAUCUAAUUAUUACAAGAUCCAGAGUGCUCCAUUAUGAAGCUACUAAAAUUGGUCUCUCCUGCUUGGCUUUGCUGAAAUGCCAUGGCUCUGGACAGAGCUGCACCUUCUGCCCUGAAAAACCCUUGGUGGAACCACCUCGAGGGUCCUUUCUACAAUUUCAGUCAGAGAUUCCUCACUGGAAGUUCUUGGAGCAGGAUCAGCCCACAGGACUCCCUGCCUCUCU
Non-coding RNA from Zonotrichia albicollis (white-throated sparrow), 670 nucleotides. The record is from RefSeq and is a predicted model, not a curated record. NCBI's taxonomy places the organism in Eukaryota, Metazoa, Chordata, Aves, Passeriformes, Passerellidae.